AUUGAACGCUGGCGGCAUGCCUUACGCAUGCAAGUCGAACGGCAGCACGGGAGCUUGCUCCUGGUGGCGAGUGGCGAACGGGUGAGUAAUACAUCGGAACGUACCCUGAAGUGGGGGAUAACGUAGCGAAAGUUACGCUAAUACCGCAUAUGCUCGCAAGAGUAAAAGCCCUCGGGCGCCAGUAGAUCGGCCUGCGGCCCAUUAUUUAGUCCUAGUUGGUAGGGUAACGGCCUACCAAGGGUACGAUGGGUAGCUGAUCUGAGAGGAUGAUCAGCCACAUUGGGACUGAGACACGGCCCAAACUCCUACGGGAGGCAGCAGUGGGGAAUAUUGGACAAUGGGCGAAAGCCUGAUCCAGCCACGCCGCGUGAGUGAUGAAGGCCUCGGUUGUAAAGCUCUGUCGUAGGGGGACGAAAGGGGGAAACCGUUUAGACGGUACCGUUACCAAGGAAGCACCGGCUAACUCCGUGCCAGCAGCCGCGGUAAGU
Molecule: ribosomal RNA, 488 nt
Filed under: uncultured bacterium
Lineage: Bacteria
Description: bacterial SSU rRNA
Rfam family: Bacterial small subunit ribosomal RNA
Source: RNAcentral